UCAAAUACUAGAGAGAGGAACAUUUUUCAUAUUCUUUCUUAAAUGCUCUUGCCCUACUCAUGGCUUGUUAAACACUUAGAUUCACAAGAUAAAGCAAUCACUUGCCGAAAUGAGAACAGUUAGGAGGUCGACUUGAAGAUUUUUAGGUUAUUUUUGACCUAAAGAUGAGGAGGAAAGCCACCAUGGGAAGUCCUAAGGAGUAGCUGCAGAUAGCCCCCUGCAUUCAAUUGUUUACUCUUCGGAUUGUGAAAUGGUUGUGGAUAGCCCCCUUGAUUACUCUUUCUUACCCUUCUCUUUAUGUUAAAUUGUUGUUUUCUAUGUCGGGAGACAAGAUUGCAUCUCAUCUUUAUAUUUUCAGUUUAAUAUGACAUGACUUAAUUUUGUUUAAUCAAAAUAGAUAUGAGUCUUGAUUUGGUUUUUAUUGGUGAUUGUCUCUUGAAUAUUCUAUGCUAAUGAUUAUUUCAUUCAUUUAGGUUUAAAUCAUGUUUAUACUUGUGAAUGUAUGGCCAACAUUUGUAGGUAAUUGAAUUAACUAUUUAAUUUGGGAAGAGACAAUAGUUAAU
This 563-nucleotide long non-coding RNA is filed under the name Gossypium barbadense (sea-island cotton). RNAcentral's name for it is "long non-coding RNA (GBAR_LNC005358)". The record is from RNAcentral. Lineage: Eukaryota; Viridiplantae; Streptophyta; Magnoliopsida; Malvales; Malvaceae.